AGGUAUUAAAAUUUUAAAAGUUAAAUAAUAUUUUAUUUUGUAAUAAAAUGUUAUUAUUAAAAUUUUCAAUUAUUUUUUAAAUUUUAUUUUAUUUACGGAUCAAAUCCGAUAUUCUUUAAAAUUCUAAAUCAUUUCGGAUAUGAGAGUCACCGAUUAUCCAUGUAGCUAAAGAUUGAAUCGACAUGAAUGCCUCCAAAUACCCGGAUAUUUGAUCUGUGCCAACAUGUAUUUACGGAUACAAUUGAUUUUUCUUUAUAUGAAAAAAAUUCAGUAAUGUCAAGGGCUUUUUAAUUUUUAAUUAAUUUUAAUUUUAUUUUUC
This 319-nucleotide long non-coding RNA is filed under the name Brassica napus (rape). RNAcentral's name for it is "long non-coding RNA (BNAP_LNC024549)". The record is from RNAcentral. Lineage: Eukaryota; Viridiplantae; Streptophyta; Magnoliopsida; Brassicales; Brassicaceae.